RNAcentral lists this ribosomal RNA (1810 nucleotides) under marine metagenome. RNAcentral's name for it is "bacterial LSU rRNA". It matches the Rfam family "Bacterial large subunit ribosomal RNA", at positions 867 to 2785 of the family's 2925-position model. The record is from RNAcentral.
UAUUUAGGUAUGAGCGUCGGAUGAACACUCCAGGGGGUAGAGCACUGAAUGGGCUAUGGGGUCUCACCGACUUACCAAACCUAAUCAAACUCCGAAUACCUGGAAGUGCUAUCCGGCAGACACACGGCGGGUGCUAACGUCCGUCGUGGAGAGGGAAACAACCCUGACCACCAUCUAAGGUCCCCAAGUUAUGGCUAAGUGGGAAAGGAUGUGAAGAUUCCAAAACAACCAGGAUGUUGGCUUAGAAGCAGCCAUCAUUUAAAGAAAGCGUAACAGCUCACUGGUCUAAUUAAGAGUCUUUGCGCCGAAAAUGUACCGGGGCUCAAGCCAUACACCGAAGCUGUGGGCUCGUCUUUGACGAGCGGUAGCGGAGCGUUCCGUAGGCCUGUGAAGGCGGACCCGUGAGGGCUGCUGGAGGUAUCGGAAGUGCGAAUGCUGACAUGAGUAACGAUAAAGGGAGUGAGAGACUCCCUCGCCGAAAGUCCAAGGGUUCCUGCUUAAAGUUAAUCUGAGCAGGGUUAGCCGGCCCCUAAGGCGAGGCCGAAAGGCGUAGUCGAUGGGAACCACGUUAAUAAUCGUGGGCCUGGUGGAGAGUGACGGAUCUCGUGUAUCGUACGGUCUUAUUGGAUUGAUCGUGCGGUGAAGAGGUUCCAGGAAAUAGCCCCACCGUAUAGACCGUACCCGAAACCGACACAGGUGGACUGGUAGAGUAUACCAAGGCGCUUGAGAGAACUAUGUUGAAGGAACUCGGCAAAUUGCACGCGUAACUUCGGAAGAAGCGUGACCCCCAUUUACGCAAGUAGGUGGGGGUGGCACAGACCAGGGGGUAGCGACUGUUUAUCAAAAACACAGGGCUCUGCGAAGUCGCAAGACGACGUAUAGGGUCUGACGCCUGCCCGGUGCUGGAAGGUUAAGAGGAGGGGUGCAAGCUCUGAAUCGAAGCCCCAGUAAACGGGGGGCGUAACUAUAACGGUCCUAAGGUAGCGAAAUUCCUUGUCGGGUAAGUUCCGACCUGCACGAAUGGCGUAACGACUUCCCCGCUGUCUCCAACAUAGACUCAGUGAAAUUGAAUUCCCCGUGAAGAUGCGGGGUUCCUGCGGUCAGACGGAAAGACCCCGUGCACCUUUACUAUAGCUUUACACUGGCAUUCGUGUCGGCAUGUGUAGGAUAGGUGGUAGGCUUUGAAGCGUGGGCGCCAGCUCGCGUGGAGCCAUCCUUGAAAUACCACCCUUAUCGUCAUGGAUGUCUAACCGCGGUCCGUCAUCCGGAUCCGGGACAGUGUAUGGUGGGUAGUUUGACUGGGGCGGUCGCCUCCUAAAGAGUAACGGAGGCGCGCGAUGGUGGGCUCAGACCGGUCGGAAAUCGGUCGUCGAGUGCAAUGGCAUAAGCCCGCCUGACUGCGAGACAGACAAGUCGAGCAGAGACGAAAGUCGGUCAUAGUGAUCCGGUGGUCCCGCGUGGAAGGGCCAUCGCUCAACGGAUAAAAGGUACGCCGGGGAUAACAGGCUGAUGACCCCCAAGAGUCCAUAUCGACGGGGUUGUUUGGCACCUCGAUGUCGGCUCAUCGCAUCCUGGGGCUGGAGCAGGUCCCAAGGGUUUGGCUGUUCGCCAAUUAAAGCGGUACGUGAGCUGGGUUCAGAACGUCGUGAGACAGUUCGGUCCCUAUCUGCCGUGGGUGCAGGAGAAUUGACAGGAUCUGACCCUAGUACGAGAGGACCGGGUUGGACGUACCUCUGGUGGACCUGUUGUGGCGCCAGCCGCAGUGCAGGGUAGCUAUGUACGGUCGGGAUAACCGCUGAAGGCAUCUAAG